GGAGGGGGAGAGAACAGUCCCACUGUGGCUACACACCUACCUCUACCCAUCUAUUUUUAACCUACAGUAGCCACAAUCCCUCAUCCACACUAAACAUUUACUCACACAGUCUUGUGCCAGAUGAUUUUAUUUGUCCAGAUUUGUGCAAAGCACAAGACUUUCCUUCAAUUUCCGACACAGUAAAAUUGUAAAGUGGGGGCACAUUGCAGUACAAUGGGCCCCCACUUUAAUGCUGCCAUGGAAUAAAAAGACAUGUUUUAUUCCAUGCCAGGGAAUAAAACAACACGUAGUACGUACUGUUUAUAGCCAUCGUUUAUAUUUAUACUCACACAACAAGUCCAGGUCGACCUCCCCAAACUUCUUUCUUAAAACUUCUUCUUUGUUGUAAAAAUGCCAAUAUGGUGAUAAUUAUUCCCUGAACCAGAUUGUCCAUUUUAGUUAUCAAUGAUAUACAAAGAUUGUAGUAAAACUGUUUUUCUUUAGAUGGAGAAAAGCCACUGUUACUGCCAGAACUCUCCCUUUGAGGAGUUAUUAAUUGUCUGGCAAUUUAGACAGAUUGAGUAUAAAUUUAC
Molecule: non-coding RNA, 572 nt
Organism: Paramuricea clavata
Lineage: Eukaryota; Metazoa; Cnidaria; Anthozoa; Malacalcyonacea; Plexauridae
Source: the annotation of a GenBank genome assembly